Molecule: ribosomal RNA, 253 nt
Filed under: uncultured Bacteroides sp.
Lineage: Bacteria; Pseudomonadati; Bacteroidota; Bacteroidia; Bacteroidales; Bacteroidaceae
Description: partial 16S ribosomal RNA
Rfam family: Bacterial small subunit ribosomal RNA
Source: RNAcentral
UACGGAGGAUGCGAGCGUUAUCCGGAUUUAUUGGGUUUAAAGGGUGCGUAGGUGGAUUGUUAAGUCAGUUGUGAAAGUUUGCGGCUCAACCGUAAAAUUGCAGUUGAUACUGGCAUCCUUGAGUACAGUAGAGGUAAGCGGAAUUCGUGGUGUAGCGGUGAAAUGCUUAGAUAUCACGAAGAACUCCGAUUGCGAAGGCAGCUCACUGGACUGCAACUGACACUGAGGCUCGAAAGUGUGGGUAUCGAACAGG